RNAcentral lists this long non-coding RNA (4161 nucleotides) under Anas zonorhyncha (Eastern spot-billed duck). RNAcentral's name for it is "lncRNA (ENSAZOG00000016569.1)". Lineage: Eukaryota; Metazoa; Chordata; Aves; Anseriformes; Anatidae. The record is from RNAcentral.
AUGACCUCCACAGCAGCCUCCACGACCUCAGCUGAGACCUCCACGGCCUCCUAUACAACUCAAGAGACCUCCACAGGCCCCACCUCCACAUCCGUGAUCUCCACAACAGCCUCUACCACCACCCAAGAGACCUCCACGGCCUCCUCAACUACAGCAGGAACAUCCACAGGCCUCAACUCCACGCCUGUGACCUCCACUGUGGCCUCCACCACCUCUUCUGAGACCUCCUCGGUCUCCUCAACCACUCCAGGGACCACCAUCGCCUCCACAACCUCUUCUGAGACGUCCUCGGUGUCCUCAACCACUGCAGGGACCUCCUCAGGCCUCACCUCCACACCAUUGACCUCCACAGUGGCCUCUACCACCUCCCAAGAGACCUCCACUGCUUCUUCCUCCACUCUUUUGACCACAAGUGUGGCCUCCACCACCUCUUCUGAGACCUCCACGGCCUCCUCAACUACAGCAGGAACAUCCACAGGCCUCAACUCCACGCCUGUGACCUCCACUGUGGCCUCCACCACCUCUUCUGAGACCUCCUCGGUCUCCUCAACCACUCCAGGCACCUCCUCAGGACUCACCUCCACAGCAUGGACCUCAACUUUGGCCUCCAUCACCUCCCCAGAGACCUCCACUGCUUCUUCCUCCACUCUUUUGACCACAAGUGUGGCCUCCACCACCUCAGCUGAGACCUCCACGUCCUCCAGUACACCUCCAGGCACCUCCACUGGCCUCACAUCCACGGCUGUGUCCUCCACAGCGGCCUCCACCACCUCCCCAGAGACCUCCACGGCCUCCUCAACCACACCAGUGACCACCACAUCAUCCUCCACAACCUCUGGUGAGACCUCCACCAUCUCCAGCACAACUCCAGCAACAUCCACAGGCCUCACCUCCACUCUUUUGACUUCCACUGUGGCCUCCACCACCUCCUCAGAGACCUCCACGGCCUCCUUGUCCACUCCAGGGACCUCCUCAGGCCUCACUUCCACUCCUUUGACCUCCACAUCAGCCUCGACCACGUCUUCUGAGACCUCCACUGCCCCCAGUACAACUCCAGGCACCUCUACUGGCCUCACCUCCACUCUGGUGACCUCCACAGCUGCCUCCACCACCUCUGGUGAGACCUCCACUGUCUCCAGCACAACUCCAGCAACAUCCACCAGCCUCACCUCCACGCCUGUGACCUCCACCAUCGCCUCCACAACCUCUUCUGAGACGUCCUCGGUGUCCUCAACCACUGCAGGGACCUCCUCAGGCCUCACCUCCACACCAUUGACCUCCACAGUGGCCUCUACCACCUCCCAAGAGACCUCCACUGCAUCCUCAACCACUCCAGGAACCUCCACAGGAAUCACUACAACCCCUGUGACCUCCACAGCAGCCUCCAGUGCCUCCGCUGAGACAUCCACGGCCUCCAGUACAACUCCAGGCACUUCCACAGGCCUCACCUCCACUCCUUUGACCUCUACAGUGGCCUCCACCACCUCCUCAGAGACUUCCACGGUGUCCUCGUCCACUCCAGGGACCUCCACAGGCCUCACUUCCACUCCUUUAACCUCCACAUCGGCCUCCACCACCUCUUCUGAGACCUCCACAGCCUCCAGUACAAGUCCAGCAACAUCCACAGGCCUGACCUCCACUCCAGGGACCUCUACCACAGCUUCUACCACCUCCUCAGAGACCUCCACGGCCUCCACAACAACUCCAGGAACAUCCACAGGCCUCACCUCCACUCUUUUGACUUCCACUGUGGCCUCCACCACCUCCUCAGAGACCUCCACGGCCUCCUUGUCCACUCCAGGGACCUCCUCAGGCCUCACUUCCACUCCUUUGACCUCCACAUCAGCCUCGACCACGUCUUCUGAGACCUCCACUGCCCCCAGUACAACUCCAGGCACCUCUACUGGCCUCACCUCCACUCUGGUGACCUCCACAGCUGCCUCCACCACCUCUGGUGAGACCUCCACUGUCUCCAGCACAACUCCAGCAACAUCCACCAGCCUCACCUCCACGCCUGUGACCUCCACCAUCGCCUCCACAACCUCUUCUGAGACGUCCUCGGUGUCCUCAACCACUGCAGGGACCUCCUCAGGCCUCACCUCCACACCAUUGACCUCCACAGUGGCCUCUACCACCUCCCAAGAGACCUCCACUGCAUCCUCAACCACUCCAGGAACCUCCACAGGAAUCACUACAACCCCUGUGACCUCCACAGCAGCCUCCAGUGCCUCCGCUGAGACAUCCACGGCCUCCAGUACAACUCCAGGCACUUCCACAGGCCUCACCUCCACUCCUUUGACCUCUACAGUGGCCUCCACCACCUCCUCAGAGACUUCCACGGUGUCCUCGUCCACUCCAGGGACCUCCACAGGCCUCACUUCCACUCCUUUAACCUCCACAUCGGCCUCCACCACCUCUUCUGAGACCUCCACAGCCUCCAGUACAAGUCCAGCAACAUCCACAGGCCUGACCUCCACUCCAGGGACCUCUACCACAGCUUCUACCACCUCCUCAGAGACCUCCACAGCAUCCACAACAUCUGCAGAAACCUCCACAGGCCUCACCUCCACACCACUGACCUCCACUGUGGCCUCCACCACCUCUUCCGCGACCUCCACAGCGUCCUCAACCACUCCUGGGACCUCCACAGGACUCACUACAACCCCCGUGACCUCCACAUCUGCCUCUACCAUCUCCCAGGAGACCUCCUCGGUCUCCUCAACCACUCCAGGGACCUCCUCAGGCCUCACCUCCACAGCAUGGACCUCGACAGUGGCCUCCACCACCUCCUCAGAGACCUCCACUGCUUCUUCCUCCACUCUUUUGACCACAAGUGUGGCCUCCACCACUUCAGCUGAGACUUCCACGGCCUCCUCAACCACUCCAGGGACCUCCUCAGGCCUCACCUCCACUCCUUUGACCUCCACUGUGGCCUCCACCACCUCUUCCGAGACCUCCACAGUCUCUUCAACCACACCAGUGACCGCCACAUCAUCCUCCACGACCUCUGGUGAGACCUCCACCAUCUCCAGCACAACUCCAGCAACAUCCACAGGUCUCACCUCCACGCCUGUGACCUCCACAUCUGCCUCCACCACCUCAGCUGAGACCUCCACAGCUUCCAGUACAACUCCAGGAACCUCCUCAGGCCUCACCUCCACACCAGUGACCUCCACUGUGGCCUCCACCACCUCUUCUGAGACCUCCACGGCCUCUUCAACCACCCCAGGCACCUCCACAGGCCUGACCUCCACAGCUGUGUCCUCCACAGAGGCCUCCUCCACCUCUUCAGAGACCUCCACAGUGUCCACAACAUCUGCAGGAACAUCCACAGGCCUCACCUCCACACCCUUGACCUCCACAUCUGCCUCUACUAUCUCCCAAGAGACCUCCACGGCCUCCUCAACCACACCAUUGACCUCCACAGCCCUCACCUCCACAGCUGUGACCUCAACAGUGGCCUCCACCACCUCCUCAGAGACCUCCACUGCUUCCUCCACUCUUUUGACCACAAGUGUGGCCUCCACCACUUCAGCUGAGACUUCCAUGGCCUCCUCAACCACUCCAGGGACCUCCUCAGGCCUCACCUCCACUCCUUUGACCUCCACCGUGGCCUCCACCACCUCAGCUGAGACCUCCACGUCCUCCAGUACAACUCCCGGCACCUCCACUGGCCUCACAUCCUCAGCUGUGUCCUCCACAACAGCCUCUACCACCUCCUCCGAGACCUCCACAGUCUCCUCAACCACACCAGUGACCACCACAUCAUCCUCCAUGACCUCAGCUGAGACCUCCACCGUCUCCAGCACAACUCCAGCAACAUCCACAGGCCUUACCUCCACUUUGGGGACCUCCUCUGUGGCCUCCACAACCUCUUCCGUGACCUCCACGGCCUCCUCAACCACUCCAGGGACCUCCACAGGCCUCACUACAACACUCAUGACCUCCACAUUGUCCUCCACCACGUCAUCUGAGACCACCACAGCCUCCAGUACAACUCCAGGCACCUCCACAGGCCUCACCUCCACACCUGUGACCACAACGGCCUCCACCACGUCUGGAUUAAUGUCUUCUCCAUCUCCCACCACUGAAACCACCUCCACUGGUGUCACUUCCACCACCACCACCCCAACCACCACCACCACCACCACCACCACCACC